UUGUAAGCGUAAAUUGCAGAACAUAUGAACUGCUCCCCCGUACUUGGGAACUGUACUGCGCAUGUGAUGACCUGUGCACUCGUAUGUAGCCUUGUAACAACAACCUGCUCAUUCCAACAUACCCAUAUCCUUCCCAAAGGGUGAUAGCCAUAGUUCAUGAGAGAGUUCCAUUGUGGCAUAGCCGUAGACAUACAUCUCUGAUGAUUAACCUCCUGAACCCUCGUUUCCAUUAGACAACCAAAAACAGGUUUUUCUGUUUGAAUCCAUGACCGAAGAGCUCUAUGCUUGCAUGGCAUAUUGAAGCCACGCAUAUUCCAUGCAAAGAAGGACGUCAUAUCUUCCUAACGGAAGACUUUUUUGGGACUCCUUGCUUACCAGCAUGCAGUAGGUCUUUAGUACGGAGUACUCUGGUGCGAGAUAACUUUUGAACUGACCCAUUCACUAAUUUCUUCCCCCGAGUAGCCUGUGUACGUUGAGACCUCUGCCCCUCAGUCUUAUUCUCCAAAAUCUCCCCCUCCUCCCCAUCCGUAGCAUUUCCCUC
RNAcentral lists this long non-coding RNA (541 nucleotides) under Brassica napus (rape). Its description in RNAcentral is "long non-coding RNA (BNAP_LNC001612)". Lineage: Eukaryota; Viridiplantae; Streptophyta; Magnoliopsida; Brassicales; Brassicaceae. The record is from RNAcentral.